Molecule: long non-coding RNA, 451 nt
Organism: Zingiber officinale
Lineage: Eukaryota; Viridiplantae; Streptophyta; Magnoliopsida; Zingiberales; Zingiberaceae
Exons: 3
Source: RefSeq, a predicted model, not a curated record
UUUUCAAGAGAAUCAAGUUUGGUAUUGUAUUUCAACUCAUUAGUGUCAAGAUGGAAACCUGUCACAUUUGAAGAAUCUCUCUGCUUUGUGAAGAAAGUAAAGGCUCGUGAUUAUCGCAUAUAUAUUGCAUUGUUUGAAAUUCUCAGCCAGAAGGACCAGAUGCCUUCAGAAACCUACCAUGAUCUAUUGUUGCUCUUAGAGAAUCAUGAUGAUCUUCUGAAGGAAUUGAUGCGAUUCAAACCUCAUGAUUUCGAACGGAGGAUCAGCCACCACAAUUCAUCAGGAAUGUCUCUUUUUCUUGUGUCAUUGUUUAUCUUGAGUUUGAUUCUGAUGUUUGAGCAACCUUUGAGAUGUUUUAUUCAACAAACUUUGGGAACUUAAACCAACUUCCUGAGGGUUAAGGUUAUGUGCACAGUUGAUUCUCCUUGUGGAAUAAAUUUCAAUUCCUCAA